RNAcentral lists this ribosomal RNA (500 nucleotides) under uncultured bacterium. RNAcentral's name for it is "partial 16S ribosomal RNA". It matches the Rfam family "Bacterial small subunit ribosomal RNA", at positions 28 to 523 of the family's 1533-position model. The record is from RNAcentral.
GAUUAACGCUAGCGGCAGGCAUAAUACAUGCAAGUUGAACGAGAUAAGUUUUAGCAAUAGAACUUUGAAAGUGGCGCACGGGUGCGUAACACGUAUGCAACCUACCUUUUACUGGGGAAUAGCCUCACGAAAGAGAGAAUAAUACCCCAUAAUAUAUUGAUAAGGCAUGUUAUUAAUAUUAAAGUUACGGAGGUAAAAGCUGGGCAUGCGGCGGAUUAGGUAGUUGGUGAGGUAAUGGCUCACCAAGCCGACGAUCAGGAGGGGGUCUGAGAGGAUGUCCCCCCACACUGGUACUGAGACACGGACCAGACUCCUACGGGGGGCAGCAGUAGUUAAGAUUGUGCAAUGGACGCAAGCCUGAUCCAGCCAUGCCUCGGGCAGGAUGAAGGCCCUAUGGGUCGUAAACUGCUUUUGUACGGGAAGAAACCUCUCUACGUGUAGUGAGUUGACGGUACCGUGAGAAUAAGGAUCGGCUAACUUCGUGCCAGCAGCCGCAGUAA